GGGCCCGCACAAGCGGUGGAGUAUGUGGUUUAAUUCGAUGCAACGCGAAGAACCUUACCAGGGUUUGACAUCCUGCGAAUUUCUGGGAAACCGGAAAGUGCCUUCGGGAACGCAGUGACAGGUGGUGCAUGGCUGUCGUCAGCUCGUGUCGUGAGAUGUUGGGUUAAGUCCCGCAACGAGCGCAACCCACGUCUUUAGUUGCCAGCAUUUAGUUGGGCACUCUAGAGAGACCGCCGGUGAUAAACCGGAGGAAGGUGUGGAUGACGUCAAGUCAUCAUGCCCCUUACAUCCUGGGCUACACACGUACUACAAUGCUACGGACAAAGAGCAGCAAGUUCGCGAGGACAAGCAAAUCUCAUAAACCGUGGCUCAGUUCAGAUCGUAGGCUGCAACUCGCCUACGUGAAGGAGGAAUCGCUAGUAAUCGC
Molecule: ribosomal RNA, 427 nt
Filed under: uncultured bacterium
Lineage: Bacteria
Description: bacterial SSU rRNA
Rfam family: Bacterial small subunit ribosomal RNA
Source: RNAcentral